AUUUAGUAAACAUUUAAAUUUUUCCGACUUUUUCAAUUAAAUUUCGUCGUUUUUCUGUGAUUUUGGGGCAAUAUGAGGAUAUUUUGAGUGCUGCAAAGGGAAGUAAGAUGCCACGAAACAACAGGAACGCCCAAAAUAAUGAGAUAAAUUACUCCAGAUAUGGCAUAGAUGACGAGCCAACUUCUCGCCAAGCAACAGGAUUUGUGGAUUUAGACUACGCUAACGAAUGUGACUAUACACAUCCAUCGGCACCAAAUGAAAUUUAUCAAACGGGCGAAAAGCCUUGGUGGCGUAGCAACUUUUUCAUCUCGCAGCCCGUGUUGUUCGGUACGUGGGAUGGCGUUUUCACGUCGUGCCUCAUCAAUAUUUUCGGCGUCAUUGUGUUCCUACGUUCGGGAUGGAUGGUAGCGCAAGCGGGAAUUAUCGCGUCACUUCUGAUAAUCUUUUGCAGCGUCAUAAUUGGACUGAUUUCGGUGCUGAGUGCAAUCGGGAUUGUCGAAAGAUGUCGCGUGGAGUCGGGCGGCGUGUAUUUUCUCAUUUCACACACAAUGGGAAGUCGAAUUGCCGGCAGUUUUGGCUUGUUGUACUGUUUUGGACAAGCUGUUGGAUGUGCCUUAAAUGUUCUCGGGUUCGGCGAGUCACUUGCUGAGCUUCUGGGACUCAAAAACGUUUGGAUGAUUCGUUUUUUGGCGGCUUGUGCGGUUUUGGUGCUCGCUGUUAUCAAUGUUGCUGGCGUGAAAUGGGUUGUAAAGUUGCAAUUUGCCCUGUUGAUCGUUUUGUUGCUAUCAGCGCUGGAUUUUAUGGUAGGAACGUUCGUGAAAACAGAUCCGGAGCACGGAAUUGAUGGCUGGGGCGAAGGAAAUUUCAUGGAAAAUAUUUGGUCAAAGUAUCAGGACGGCUAUGAUUGGUUCCGGGUGUUUGGUGUCUUCUUUCCGACAAUCACGGGAGUCUUGGCAGGCAUCAAUAUGAGCGGAGACUUGCGAACACCGAGUUCUGACAUCCCCAAUGGGACCCUAGCUGCCUUUUCGACUGCGACAUUUCUCUAUAUGACAUUUAUUUUGUUCCUCGGAGCGAUUUGUACGCGCGAAACGCUCUUAACGGACUUUUCCAUCGCCGCCAAAGCCUCCGCGGUGUCAGUUUUACUGCUCGCAGGUGUUUAUGUCUCGAGUAUGAGCAGCUGUUUGGGCGCCAUGUACGGAACGCCGCGCGUUUUGCAAAGUAUCGCCUUGGAAAAUGUCAUUCCGCGCAUGAAUAUCCUCGGAACGGGACGUGGCGCGAACAAAAUUCCGAUUUACGCAAUGGGAGUUGUCGCUACAAUCACUAUAACGUUCAUCUUUAUCGGAGAUAUCAACACUUUGGCACCAAUUGUGACGAUGCCCUUCCUCCUGACGUACGCCUGCAUCGACUACAGUUACUUUGCCUUGGCGCAAACGUUCGACAUUCAAGUAAAUCGCGAGGAAAGGUAUCGCGUUCAAGCCCAUAGUCCCUCGUAUGGCGCCACAAAUGCUUAUACCGAUGACCUGGAUCAUCUUUUCCCCGAGAGAACGCAACACAAAAGUCUUCAUCAGUCGACGUCGUCGCACAAUGUGAACAGCGAGGCAACUAACGGCACAAAUUCGACAGUUCAGACGCCUCAGGGCGAAGAAACGACAGCAAGUGUGACUGAUACAGCGAGUAUUAAUGCAGCUGAUGACGAACCAAUUGCAGCUCCGAAUCGCCCGACGAUCCAUUCGAAGACCCAAAAUUGGUACAGUGGCUUUUGUAAUCGAUAUGCGUCGUUAUUAGGGGCACUCAUUAAAAUCCUCGUGAUGUUCUUGGUGAACUGGAUUUACGCCAUUUUCUGCAUAUCAAUCGUCUUUAUUGUCUGGUAUUACAUUGGAACAGCAAAUCCCGCCGUCAAACCAGGUUUAGCGCACGAGUUUCGGCUCUUUGUAUGGCUCAAAAAUUCCCUUUUCCAAUGUUUCGGCAAAAAUCGUGAUCAAGCAAUCACCGCAAUUAUCACUCCCUCGUGCACAAUGGACUUAUCACAGCAACAAAUUAACGACGAAAAUGAUGAUUUUUCGUCGCGGCGCCGUUAUCAUCACACGUCAAACGUUCAAGGGCAUUACGUGGUUGAUGCUUAAAAAGCAUUUUUUUUUCGUCAAAAUUUUACUUAACGAGCUUUCUUUUUAUUAAUGUUUAAAAUUUUUAUUUAAGUUAUAAAGUGCAUUCCUAUUUUUAAUGAGAUUUUUAAGAAGUUUCCUCUCAAGGAUUCUCGAAAAAAAAAAAACAAAACCAAUAGUCAUUAUGAUACAAUGUUAGCAUUUUUUAUUGUAAUUCCUGCAUAAUCUUAACAUACAAAAAAGAAGAGAACAAAAAAAAAUAAUAUUUAUGACUUUUUCAUACACAUUCUCACCUACAUUUACAUUU
Molecule: RNA transcript, 2409 nt
Organism: Culicoides brevitarsis
Lineage: Eukaryota; Metazoa; Arthropoda; Insecta; Diptera; Ceratopogonidae
Gene name: solute carrier family 12 member 8
Exons: 6
Source: RefSeq, a predicted model, not a curated record